UGAGGAAUAUUGGUCAAUGGACGGAAGUCUGAACCAGCCAUGCCGCGUGAAGGAUGAAGGCGUUCUGCGUUGUAAACUUCUUUUAUCUGGGAAGAAACCACAGAUUUCUAUUUGUGUUGACGGUACCUGAGGAGGAAGCCACGGCUAACUACGUGCCAGCAGCCGCGGUAAUACGUAGGUGGCAAGCGUUGUCCGGAUUUACUGGGCGUAAAGAGUAUGUAGGCGGAUAUUUAAGUCAGAUGUGAAAUUCCCGGGCUUAACCUGGGAGCUGCAUUUGAUACUGGAUAUCUAGAGUGCAGGAGAGGAUAGUGGAAUUCCUAGUGUAGCGGUGAAAUGCGUAGAGAUUAGGAAGAACGCCAGUGGCGAAGGCGACUUUCUGGACUGUAACUGACGCUGAGAUACGAAAGCGUGGGGAGCAAACA
This 422-nucleotide ribosomal RNA is filed under the name uncultured bacterium. Its description in RNAcentral is "bacterial SSU rRNA". It matches the Rfam family "Bacterial small subunit ribosomal RNA", at positions 355 to 774 of the family's 1533-position model. The record is from RNAcentral.